Molecule: long non-coding RNA, 446 nt
Organism: Leptinotarsa decemlineata (Colorado potato beetle)
Lineage: Eukaryota; Metazoa; Arthropoda; Insecta; Coleoptera; Chrysomelidae
Source: RefSeq, a predicted model, not a curated record
UGACGGGUUUCUGUGAUUUGUCGAAAAUCUUUUUCCACACAGGUCAUUACCACCAAAUGAAAUUUGCUAUGUCUACUUGAUCGAAAUAAAUCAAGCAAACCGACUCUAUAUGGAGUAAUAAUAAGACAUAGAGUUAUCAUGCCUAUACGGUGCCUAUACCAAUACAAUACAUGUGUUUUGAAACGAGUAUCGUACUAUCCUUUUCUGUACAACUUACAGCGCGGAGGGUGGCGGGUAAUGAGAAGUUAUGGAGAGUUUAGAGUUUAUUUACAUUUGAAAGCAGGGGGGAAAUAUGAGAAUUGAGAACCGUACAACCUUAGAGCAGAGAUAGUGAAGUUCGUCACCUCACAUUUCGAAUAACAGCAAACCUCCAAACAAUAAACAUAAUUAUAUGUUCAUCUGAUUAGAAAAUGCAAACUUUUCAACAAUAUACGAUAUUCUAUGUG